GAUGAACGCUGGCGGCGUGCCUAAUACAUGCAAGUCGAGCGAACGGACGAGAAGCUUGCUUCUCUGAUGUUAGCGGCGGACGGGUGAGUAACACGUGGAUAACCUACCUAUAAGACUGGGAUAAUUUCGGGAAACCGGAGCUAAUACCGGAUAAUAUUUUGAACCGCAUGGUUCAAAAGUGAAAGACGGUCUUGCUGUCACUUAUAGAUGGAUCCGCGCUGCAUUAGCUAGUUGGUAAGGUAACGGCUUACCAAGGCAACGAUGCAUAGCCGACCUGAGAGGGUGAUCGGCCACACUGGAACUGAGACACGGUCCAGACUCCUACGGGAGGCAGAAGUAGGGAAUCUUCCGCAAUGGGCGAAAGCCUGACGGAGCAACGCCGCGUGAGUGAUGAAGGUCUUCGGAUCGUAAAACUCUGUUAUUAGGGAAGAACAUAUGUGUAAGUAACUGUGCACAUCUUGACGGUACCUAAUCAGAAAGCCACGGCUAACUACGUG
This 497-nucleotide ribosomal RNA is filed under the name uncultured bacterium. Its description in RNAcentral is "partial 16S ribosomal RNA". It matches the Rfam family "Bacterial small subunit ribosomal RNA", at positions 28 to 507 of the family's 1533-position model. The record is from RNAcentral.